UGCUGGCUUUGCCGUUAGUUUUACUUCGUGCGUUGUCCUGCUGAGGCCAAAGCCAAGCGCCGCAGCGUUAGUGCCCACGUAACGUGUUAUGUUGUAAACGAUUUGAGCUACGUCUACAUAUAAAUAUAUAUCUAUGAUCUGUGUACCUUAUUUGUGAUAUCAUAAC
This is a long non-coding RNA of Drosophila arizonae, 166 nucleotides long. NCBI's taxonomy places the organism in Eukaryota, Metazoa, Arthropoda, Insecta, Diptera, Drosophilidae. The record is from RefSeq and is a predicted model, not a curated record.